UCCCAAUAGCUCAGUUGGUAGAGCAUGAGACUCUUAAUCUCAGGGCUGUGGGUUUGAGUCCCACACUGGGCAAAA
This 75-nucleotide transfer RNA is filed under the name Podarcis lilfordi (Lilford's wall lizard). Its description in RNAcentral is "tRNA.Lys". The stretch from base 7 to 64 matches the Rfam family "tRNA", at positions 8 to 63 of the family's 71-position model. Rfam says of the family: Transfer RNA (tRNA) molecules are approximately 80 nucleotides in length. Their secondary structure includes four short double-helical elements and three loops (D, anti-codon, and T loops). Lineage: Eukaryota; Metazoa; Chordata; Lepidosauria; Squamata; Lacertidae. The record is from RNAcentral.